Long non-coding RNA from Cervus elaphus (red deer), 439 nucleotides. RefSeq lists it as uncharacterized. The record is from RefSeq and is a predicted model, not a curated record. Lineage: Eukaryota; Metazoa; Chordata; Mammalia; Artiodactyla; Cervidae. The transcript has 5 exons.
CGGAAGUAAAGGCGGGGCGCCGGGUACCUCCCCAGGCGAUCCCUGGUGCGCUUACCCCAGGGCGAGGGACUGGUCCAGCCAAUGAAAACAGGGAUCUGACCGGGCACACCUUUCAAAGAGACCUGGAGCCAGCGUUAACGGAAUGCUUGGAGGGGGUCCUCUAAAGUCCAAGGUGCUGUCUGGAUGUUAGGCUGGGGGCAGUGACCUGGUGUGAAGGUUGCAGGUGGGCCUCUAUUUAGAUGGAACCCAAGAGCGGAAGAGGGUUCUGCUGCUGAGAAAACGUUUGGUGAACUUCACUACCCACUCCUGAUUCACUGAACAUGGUCACGGAUAUUCCUUUCAUGGGAUAAAGAAAAUAGUGGCAGACUCGGCAAGGUGGAUAUGACACCAGGAGUUGUGGCAGUCAUGUUGUAACACUGAGGCAGAACACAUGAAAAAG